UACAGGAAGCAGCUUGCUGCUUCUUUUGACGAGUGGCGGACGGGUGAGUAAAGACUGGGAAACUGCCUGAUGGAGGGGGAUAACUACUGGAAACGGUAGCUAAUACCGCAUAACGUCGCAAGACCAAAGAGGGGGACCUUCGGGCCUCUUGCCAUCGGAUGUGCCCAGAUGGGAUUAGCUAGUAGGUGGGGUAACGGCUCACCUAGGCGACGAUCCCUAGCUGGUCUGAGAGGAUGACCAGCCACACUGGAACUGAGACACGGUCCAGACUCCUACGGGAGGCAGCAGUGGGGAAUAUUGCACAAUGGGCGCAAGCCUGAUGCAGCCAUGCCGCGUGUAUGAAGAAGGCCUUCGGGUUGUAAAGUACUUUCAGCGGGGAGGAAGGGAGUAAAGUUAAUACCUUUGCUCAUUGACGUUACCCGCAGAAGAAGCACCGGCUAACUCCGUGCCAGCAGCCGCGGUAAUACGGAGGGUGCAAGCGUUAAUCGGAAUUACUGGGCGUAAAGCGCACGCAGGCGGUUUGUUAAGUCAGAUGUGAAAUCCCCGGGCUCAACCUGGGAACUGCAUCUGAUACUGGCAAGCUUGAGUCUCGUAGAGGGGGGUAGAAUUCCAUGUG
This 616-nucleotide ribosomal RNA is filed under the name bacterium. Its description in RNAcentral is "bacterial SSU rRNA". It matches the Rfam family "Bacterial small subunit ribosomal RNA", at positions 70 to 675 of the family's 1533-position model. The record is from RNAcentral.